AGAACGAACGCUGGCGGCAUGCCUAAUACAUGCAAGUCGAACGAACUCUUCGGAGUUAGUGGCGCACGGGUGCGUAACGCGUGGGAAUCCGCCCCUUGGUUCGGAAUAACAGUUGGAAACGACUGCUAAUACCGGAUGAUGACGAAAGUCCAAAGAUUUAUCGCCAAGGGAUGAGCCCGCGUAGGAUUAGCUAGUUGGUGAGGUAAAGGCUCACCAAGGCAACGAUCCUUAGCCGGUCUGAGAGGAUGAUCAGCCACACUGGGACUGAGACACGGCCCAGACUCCUACGGGAGGCAGCAGUAGGGAAUAUUGGACAAGUGGGGGCAACCCGUGAUCCAGCAAUGCCGCGUGAGUGAUGAAGGCCGUUAGGGUUGUAAAGCUCUUUACCGAGAUGAUAAUGACUAGUAGUCGGAAGAAUAAGCUCCGGCUAACCUCCGCGCCA
Molecule: ribosomal RNA, 442 nt
Filed under: uncultured soil bacterium
Lineage: Bacteria
Description: bacterial SSU rRNA
Rfam family: Bacterial small subunit ribosomal RNA
Source: RNAcentral